CAGAGCCAAAUUCAACUUCUUACCUUGUGUGAUAGAGACGUGAAGAGAGAGAGGUUUUGCAGGACAAGCCAAGAUGCAAGAAACAAGGCUGAGGACUUGUCUUUCAAUCAAGAAGAAGGUUCCAAACAGAAUGUUCCCAGGAGGAGAGGCAGUUGAAGCUGGCUGAAGGACCCUUGGAGGGCUGGCUUGGCUUGGGGGCUCUGACCAAAGGAGGAACUGAUUCUGUCUCUCUCUCUGGGAGCUGAAGUUGGUCAGGGGGAUUCUCUCUCCCUGGGGUGAACUGACUAAGAAAGGAUGGAGAAACCUCUGCUCUCUCUGGGGGUUGACUGACCAAGAAAGGAGGAAAUAAGGCAAUAUUGAGGCUGGGAGGGACUUUGUAAUACAUUGUGGAGAAGUGGUAUUCAUCUGACAUGUCAGACUGUUGUCCUGCAAGAAACUCGAGUUCCUUUCUUAUGUUGGCUACUUCUGGCAAAUCUAGGUGUAUCAAUCACCACAUGGCAAGAGGAGUUAAGAAACAAGACAAGAAAUCCUUUGGAUUCAAUGGCAAUAAUAAUGCACUCUGAUGUGGCUGGGGAUGUUCACUAUCAAGGACAAGCACUUACAGAAAGAAAAUCUUGCAUUGCAUUUUUUUUUUGCAUUGCAUUUUUGAUGCAGAGGAAGCAGAAACUCGAGUCAUCAAUCUGAGUUAAUUGACUGUCACUGACUCCUAACAAUUAGAUACUUCUCCUUUUGUCCUACAUGUUUGGGUGAGAAAAUCUGGUGAAAAAGAAUAGUUGACUAAAUUCGAGAAAAUAUGUAAGAGAAACAGGUGCAGGAAAAAAUGAGACUGAUAAUCAAGCCUCAUAUCUUAUGGCAACCCAAACUGUUUUAUUACUUCCAAAAAUGAUUAGAAGACCACUCUAUUGAAUAUAAUCAAAUAUUAUUAUUGUUAUUAUUAUUAGAAUGAAGCACCUAGGAUGCCCCCUCUCAUAUGUGGGUUCCCUGGAACAACUAUUCCAGGUUCAAGGUUCAUUAUGCAUCCAUAUCCACUCAAAACCAUUCCUCUUGAGCCCAUACUUUUGAUUCUUCAGGCAGACAGAGGACAUAAUUAGUUCGAAGCAAAGGCAUUUAGUAAAAUAUUAUAAAAAUAAUUAAGCUAUGUUGAUCUGUAGUAUACUUUGAAAAUUUCCCAUGAGAAACUCUGUUUUCCUUCAGUGCUUCUUCUUCAAUACUGUACUUAAAAACAGGCCACCCACAUCAUUUCAAUUCUAACAUGGUUUUAUGUGAAGGUAGAGGGAACAUAAGUCAAAAUAAAAAGAUGAAGAUUAAAACA
Monodelphis domestica (gray short-tailed opossum) is the source of this 1312-nucleotide long non-coding RNA. The record is from Ensembl. Lineage: Eukaryota; Metazoa; Chordata; Mammalia; Didelphimorphia; Didelphidae.